AUGACAUGCAGUGCGGUCAAGACCAGUCAUGCUUUGACCGAACCCAGAGACAGCUUAAACCUACUCUCUGCCGUGUGUGUGUGUGUGUGUGUGUGUGUGUGUGUGUGUGUGUGUGUGGAUGUGUGCGAGUACGGAUGUGCGUGUGCGUGUGCGUGUGCAGCUCUCGCCGUCUCGCCCUCCAGCCUGCAGGGCGGCACAAUUCGCUGCGCCUCCGGGAGGGUCGCGGCGCUGGUCUCGCGGGGGGACGCGGACGGGACGCGGAGGCCUGAGCGCCCGGUGCCCGCGGGGGGCAGAGGAGGAGGCGCGACCUCCCGGCCUCCCGGCCUCCAGGUCGCUCUGGCGCCGCCCGGGGCGCUCGGCGGGCGUUGCCCUGCGGUGGACGAGGGCCCGGGGAGGCAGCCCCGGCGGAGCCAGCCCGAGGCGCGGCCAGCGAGCUGCGGCCCCGCCGCCCCCCCCGCCCCCCCCCCCCCCCGCCCCCCCCCCCCCCCCGCCCCCCCCCCGCCCCCCCGCCCCCCCCCCCCGCCCCGCCCCGCCCCGCCCCCCGCCCCGCCCCCCCCCCCCCCCGCCCCGCCCCCGCCCCCGCCCCGCCCCCCCCCCCCCGCCCCCCCCCCCCGCCCCUCGCCCCCCCCCGCCCCCCCCCCCGCCCCCCGCCGCCCCCGCCCCCCCCCCCCCCGCCCGCCCCGCCCCCCCCCCCGCCCGCCCCCGCCCCCCCCCCGCCGCCCCCCGCCCCGCCCCCCCCCGCCCGCCCCGCCCCCCCCCCCGCCCCCCCCCCCCCCCCCCGCGCCCCCCGCCCCCCCGGCCCCCCCCCCCCCCCCCCCCGCCCGCCGCCCGCCCCGCCCCGCCCCCCCCCCCCCCCCCGCCCCCCCCCCCGCCCCGCCCCCCCCCGCCCCGCACAGCCCCGCCCCGCCCCGCACAGCCCCGCGUGGGCCCAGCCUCCGCCCAGCCUGCAGCCCGCUGAUGAGCCCGGCCGCCCGCUCCCUCUGGGGGCUCCCCCGGCCCCUCUGCAGGAGCCGCCGCCUCCAGGAAGGACUUCACCGAGCCAGGUCUGGACCCACAGCGGCGACCGGAUCGGGACUGGUUCCGUGA
This 1086-nucleotide long non-coding RNA is filed under the name Canis lupus familiaris (dog). Its description in RNAcentral is "lncRNA (ENSCAFG00845020397.1)". The record is from RNAcentral. Lineage: Eukaryota; Metazoa; Chordata; Mammalia; Carnivora; Canidae.